AUAGAACGCUGGCGGCAGGCUUAACACAUGCAAGUCGAGCGGGGUGAUGGUGCUUGCACUAUCACUUAGCGGCGGACGGGUGAGUAAUGCUUAGGAAUCUGCCUAUUAGUGGGGGACAACAUCUCGAAAGGGAUGCUAAUACCGCAUACGUCCUACGGGAGAAAGCAGGGGAUCACUUGUGACCUUGCGCUAAUAGAUGAGCCUAAGUCGGAUUAGGUAGUUGGUGGGUUAAAGGCCUACCAAGGCGACGAUCUGUAGCGGGUCUGAGAGGAUGAUCCGCCACACUGGGACUGAGACACGGCCCAGACUCCUACGGGAGGCAGCAGUGGGGAAUAUUGGACAAUGGGGGGAACCCUGAUCCAGCCAUGCCGCGUGUGUGAAGAAGGCCUUAUGGUUGUAAAGCACUUUAAGCGAGGAGGAGGCUCUUUUGGUUAAUACCCAAGAUGAGUGGACGUUACUCGCAGAAUAAGCACCGGCUAACUCCGUGCCAGCAGCCGCAGUAA
RNAcentral lists this ribosomal RNA (503 nucleotides) under uncultured bacterium. RNAcentral's name for it is "partial 16S ribosomal RNA". It matches the Rfam family "Bacterial small subunit ribosomal RNA", at positions 31 to 523 of the family's 1533-position model. The record is from RNAcentral.